UCCCAACAUUACACCCUAAACACCUUCACGCUAACCUCUACAUUCUCUCUCUCAAACUCACUCUCAAAAAUCUUCAUCUCUCCAUCUCCUCUCCCUCGAAACCUUCCAAAAUGUCACAACCUUUUGUCCCCACUCCAAGCAAAUCCUUCAAAGAGAAAUCAAACCCUAAAAAUAUUGGCACUAAGAUAGAUCUCUCUGAUGUCAUUACUGACAUAGUUCCCCUCUCUAUCAUUUAUGUCCAUGCAACUCCCAUGAGAAAGGUUAGAACUUUAUCAUCAAGAAAAGGCAGGCCUACUAAAGUAAGUACCUCUUCCACUCCCUCCAUAACUGCUAGAAAUAUGAAUGAUCUUG
This 351-nucleotide long non-coding RNA is filed under the name Lathyrus oleraceus (garden pea). RNAcentral describes it as "Pisum sativum (pea) long non-coding RNA (PSAT_LNC032890)". The record is from RNAcentral. Lineage: Eukaryota; Viridiplantae; Streptophyta; Magnoliopsida; Fabales; Fabaceae.